GGUAACGAGGGGCCAGAGGGCGGGGUAAGACGGAGGGGGCAAGCGGUGUCCGGAAGCAUGGGGCGUAAAGCGCGUGUAGGCGGCCAGGUAAGUCCGGUCUGAAAGCCCGGGGCUCAACCGCGGGAGGCGGAUGGAUACUGCUUGGCUCGAGUCCGGAAGAGGCGAGUGGAAUUCCCGGUGUAGCGGUGAAAUGCGCAGAUAUCGGGAGGAACACCAAUGGCGAAGGCAGCUCGCUGGGACGGUACUGACGCUGAGACGCGAAAGCGUGGGGAGCAAACAGGAUUAGAUACCCCUGUAGUC
This 300-nucleotide ribosomal RNA is filed under the name uncultured Lactobacillus sp. Its description in RNAcentral is "bacterial SSU rRNA". It matches the Rfam family "Bacterial small subunit ribosomal RNA", at positions 496 to 795 of the family's 1533-position model. The record is from RNAcentral. Lineage: Bacteria; Bacillati; Bacillota; Bacilli; Lactobacillales; Lactobacillaceae.